RNAcentral lists this ribosomal RNA (449 nucleotides) under uncultured bacterium. RNAcentral describes it as "partial 16S ribosomal RNA". It matches the Rfam family "Bacterial small subunit ribosomal RNA", at positions 29 to 523 of the family's 1533-position model. The record is from RNAcentral.
AACGAACGCUGGCGGCAUGCCUAACACAUGCAAGUCGAACGAGACCUUCGGGUCUAGUGGCGCACGGGUGCGUAACGCGUGGGAAUCUACCCUUGGGUUCGGAAUAACAGUUAGAAAUGACUGCUAAUACCGGAUGAUGACGUAAGUCCAAAGAUUUAUCGCCCAAGGACGAGCCCGCGUAAGAUUAGCUUGUUGGUGGGGUAAUGGCCUACCAAGGCGACGAUCUUUAGCUGGUCUGAGAGGAUGAUCAGCCACACUGGGACUGAGACACGGCCCAGACUCCUACGGGAGGCAGCAGUGGGGAAUAUUGGACAAUGGGCGAAAGCCUAAUCCAGCAAUGCCGCGUGAGUGAUGAAGGCCUUAGGGUUGUAAAGCUCUUUUACCAGGGAUGAUAAUGACAGUACCUGGAGAAUAAGCUCCGGCUAACUCCGUGCCAGCAGCCGCGGUAA